RNAcentral lists this long non-coding RNA (238 nucleotides) under Solanum tuberosum (potato). Its description in RNAcentral is "long non-coding RNA (STUB_LNC011671)". The record is from RNAcentral. Lineage: Eukaryota; Viridiplantae; Streptophyta; Magnoliopsida; Solanales; Solanaceae.
UAUUGAAGAAGAAGCCUCCUUUUGAGAGGACUUCAGAUCAAAUAAACUCAUCCCCCCUCUUUGUAUAAACAGAGAGCUAGAUGAGGAGGGCGAUCCUGAUGAUCCUGGGGAUGAUCUUCCCGUUCCUCUGGUAUAACUUCCCCUUCCUCUGGCCUUGGUUACCCAAUGAGAGUCCAUUCUGCAGACAAAACAUUUUGUUUUAUUUGAAUACCUCAUAAUAUAAAUCAUAGUAAUUACG